AUUGAACGCUGGCGGCAGGCCUAACACAUGCAAGUCGAGCGGAUGAAGGGAGCUUGCUCCUGGAUUCAGCGGCGGACGGGUGAGUAAUGCCUAGGAAUCUGCCUGGUAGUGGGGGAUAACGUCCGGAAACGGGCGCUAAUACCGCAUACGUCCUGAGGGAGAAAGUGGGGGAUCUUCGGACCCCACGCUAUCAGAUGAGCCUAGGUCGGAUUAGCUAGUUGGUGGGGUAAAGGCCUACCAAGGCGACGAUCCGUAACUGGUCUGAGAGGAUGAUCAGUCACACUGGAACUGAGACACGGUCCAGACUCCUACGGGAGGCAGCAGUGGGGAAUAUUGGACAAUGGGCGAAAGCCUGAUCGAGCCAUGCCGCGUGUGUGAAGAAGGUCUUCGGAUUGUAAAGCACUUUAAGUUGGGAGGAAGGGCAGUAAGUUAAUACCUUGCUGUUUUGACGUUACCAACAGAAUAAGCACCGGCUAACUUCGUG
RNAcentral lists this ribosomal RNA (484 nucleotides) under uncultured bacterium. Its description in RNAcentral is "partial 16S ribosomal RNA". It matches the Rfam family "Bacterial small subunit ribosomal RNA", at positions 30 to 507 of the family's 1533-position model. The record is from RNAcentral.